RNAcentral lists this ribosomal RNA (468 nucleotides) under uncultured bacterium. Its description in RNAcentral is "partial 16S ribosomal RNA". It matches the Rfam family "Bacterial small subunit ribosomal RNA", at positions 28 to 507 of the family's 1533-position model. The record is from RNAcentral.
GACGAACGCUGGCGGCGUGCUUAACACAUGCAAGUCGAACGGAAAGGCCCUGCUUUUGUGGGGUGCUCGAGUGGCGAACGGGUGAGUAACACGUGAGUAACCUGCCCUUGACUUUGGGAUAACUUCAGGAAACUGGGGCUAAUACCGGAUAGGAGCUCCUGCUGCAUGGUGGUGGUUGGAAAGUUUCGGCGGUUGGGGAUGGACUCGCGGCUUAUCAGCUUGUUGGUGGGGUAGUGGCUUACCAAGGCUUUGACGGGUAGCCGGCCUGAGAGGGGUACCGGCCACAAUGGGACUGAGAGACGGACCAGACUCCUACGGGAGGCAGCAGGGGGGAAUAUUGCACAAUGGGCGGAAGCCUGAUGCAGCAACGCCGCGUGCGGGAUGACGGCCUUCGGGUUGUAAACCGCUUUCGCCGGUGACGAAGCGUGAGUGACGGUAAUGGGUAAAGAAGCACCGGCUAACUACGUG